UUCCCUCAGUAACGGCGAGUGAAGCGGGAAGAGCUCAAAUUUAAAAUCUGGCUUACUUGUAAGUCCGAGUUGUAGUCUGAAGAAACGUUUUCCAUAAGCACUGAGGCACAAGUCCCUUGGAACAGGGCAUCAUAGAGGGUGAGAAUCCCGUCCAUGGUCUCAAGUUGCUUAUUUUGUGAUACGUUUUCAAAGAGUCAGGUUGUUUGGGAAUGCAGCCUAAAAUGGGUGGUAAAUUUCAUCUAAAGCUAAAUAUUGGCGAGAGACCGAUAGCGAACAAGUACCGUGAGGGAAAGAUGAAAAGAACUUUGAAAAGAGAGUUAAACAGUACGUGAAAUUGUUGAAAGGGAACCGUUUGAAGCCAGUCUUACUUGCUCGUGAUCAGUUUGUGCCUCGGCAUGAAUGCACUCUCGGGUAUGGUAGGCCAACGACAGUUUAGAAUGCGAGAAAAAAAUUUGGGAAAUGUGGCCUUCGGGUGUUAUAGUCCCUUAUGAAAUAUCGUGUUCUGGACUGAGGAUCGCAGUAAAAAUGUGGGCAGGUAGAUUUCUGUGGUGAAUGAUUAUUAGGACAACUUGUUGACCUAGUUUUCAUGAGCCUCACUGUUUGUCUUGCUUCUAAUUUGCUUAGGUCGUUGGCAUAAUGGCUUUAAAUGACCCGUCUUGAAACACGGACCAAGGAGUCUAACAUAUAUGCGAGUAUUUGGGUGACAAACCCAUAUGCGCAAUGAAAGUGAAAUUAGGUGCCAAACCUUCACGGGUGGCAGCAUCGGCCGGCUCUGACGUUUUAACUGACGAGUCUGAGCAGAAGCAUACAUGUUGGGACCCGAAAGAUGGUGAACUAUGCCUGAAUAGGGUGAAGCCAGAGGAAACUCUUGGUGGAGGCUCGUAG
Molecule: ribosomal RNA, 885 nt
Filed under: Umbelopsis sp. ML-2017
Lineage: Eukaryota; Fungi; Mucoromycota; Umbelopsidomycetes; Umbelopsidales; Umbelopsidaceae
Description: LSU rRNA
Rfam family: Eukaryotic large subunit ribosomal RNA
Source: RNAcentral